RNAcentral lists this small nuclear RNA (306 nucleotides) under Ursus americanus (American black bear). RNAcentral describes it as "7SK RNA (ENSUAMG00000026751.1)". It matches the Rfam family "7SK RNA". Rfam says of the family: 7SK was discovered as an abundant small nuclear RNA in the mid-70s but a possible function has only recently been suggested. Two independent studies have found that 7SK RNA binds the CDK9/cyclin T complex (known as elongation factor P-TEFb). P-TEFb activates transcription by phosphorylating the C-terminal domain of RNA polymerase II. The record is from Rfam by way of RNAcentral. Lineage: Eukaryota; Metazoa; Chordata; Mammalia; Carnivora; Ursidae.
GAAUAAAGCUGCNCGUGACAUCUGUCACCCCGUUGGUUUGGCCGAUCUGGCUGGCUGGGGAGGUGUCCCCUCCCUCCCUCCCUGCUCCACGUGCAUCCCUCCUAAAGCUGCAUGUCUGGUCAAAGAGGAUGACCUUCCCCAAUAGAGAAGGAUCCUUCUUUGGUCAAGGGAAUGGCUGGGCUUCCCCUGUUAGAACCUCCUAACAAGCUCUCAAGGUCCCUUUGUAGGAGAACGUAGGGUAGUCAAGCUUGCAAGACUCCAGACCCAGCCAAAUGAGGCACUGAAUGCGGCAGUCUGCCUUNCUCU